Molecule: ribosomal RNA, 845 nt
Filed under: Hyunsoonleella aestuarii
Lineage: Bacteria; Pseudomonadati; Bacteroidota; Flavobacteriia; Flavobacteriales; Flavobacteriaceae
Description: bacterial SSU rRNA
Rfam family: Bacterial small subunit ribosomal RNA
Source: RNAcentral
UCGAGGGGUAACAGGGUGCUUGCACCGCUGACGACCGGCGCACGGGUGCGUAACGCGUAUGCAAUCUGCCUUACACUGGGGGAUAGCCUUUAGAAAUGAAGAUUAAUACCCCAUAGUAUUAUUAGUUCGCAUGGAUUAAUAAUUAAAGGUUACGGUGUAAGAUGAGCAUGCGUCCUAUUAGCUAGAUGGUGUGGUAACGGCACACCAUGGCAACGAUAGGUAGGGGCCCUGAGAGGGGGAUCCCCCACACUGGUACUGAGACACGGACCAGACUCCUACGGGAGGCAGCAGUGAGGAAUAUUGGACAAUGGGCGGAAGCCUGAUCCAGCCAUGCCGCGUGCAGGAAGACUGCCCUAUGGGUUGUAAACUGCUUUUAUACAGGAAGAAACCACGCUACGUGUAGCGUUCUGACGGUACUGUAAGAAUAAGGAUCGGCUAACUCCGUGCCAGCAGCCGCGGUAAUACGGAGGAUCCAAGCGUUAUCCGGAAUCAUUGGGUUUAAAGGGUCCGUAGGUGGAUAAUUAAGUCAGGGGUGAAAGUUUGCAGCUUAACUGUAAAAUUGCCUUUGAUACUGGUUAUCUUGAAUCAUUAUGAAGUGGUUAGAAUAUGUAGUGUAGCGGUGAAAUGCAUAGAUAUUACAUAGAAUACCAAUUGCGAAGGCAGAUCACUAAUAAUGUAUUGACACUGAUGGACGAAAGCGUAGUAGCGAACGGGAUUAGAUACCCCGGUAGUCUACGCCGUAAACGAUGGAUACUAGCUGUUGGGCUUCGGCUCAGUGGCUAAGCGAAAGUGAUAAGUAUCCCACCUGGGGAGUACGUUCGCAAGAAUGAAACUCAAAGGAAUUG